AAAAGAAAGAAGAAGAAAAAAGCAGGUGGUGCAGAGGGCCCUUCAUCUCUGACCUCAGAUCUCUCUGAUAUAUCGCUGACUGAAAAAGAAAAGAAAAUGGAGGAAGACCAAUCUUCUGACAGUGAUGGCUCUUACUGCACUGUAGAUGACAUGCCUAAACCGGCUGAAUCAUCCUCUCAUCUGAGCCUACCAGAAACUGAAACUGCUGAGCUAAAACAGCAUGCUGUCUCGGCUUUACCCAUAGAUGCUGCUUUAAGUCAGUCUGAUGAGCAGCCUAAUAGUAGCAAAGAGAGAUGUGUAGCACCUGAAACGACAGAAACAUCUAAGUUGCAGUUGACCCAAGAGCUGAUCAGCAUUAGCACUGACAAAGCUUCUCCAGCAGUGACCAUGGAAGUAAAUCAGAAAGAUGAAGAAGAUAAAGAAAAAUCUGAAAAUAAAGGACAAAAGAGUGUGUCUAAAAGAAAACAAACUACUCUAGAUCGAGAUGGUGAUAUGGACCGGAAUGCAAACAUAAAGAGCAGCACAGGAAAUCAAAGAGAGACCGAUGAUCAUGUUGUGGGAGCACUGAACAACCACAGCUCCAGUGGAGAUUUACCAGUGAAGGUUGAGCAGAGUCAGAAGCUGCAGUCUGCAUGUACCGGCCAGAAGAAUACAGCAUCUGAAAAACAAAAUAAAAGUGAGGAAGCAGAAACCAGUGAAGGCAAACAGCAUGUCUCAUUUCCUACAACGAAAAAAAAUCAAAAUCAGAAACCGCAGAAUUCAACACAGGACAUGGUGUUUGGCCCACAGAAUAAACCUAAGAAGAAUCACGAUUCCAGUGGCGAUUCUUCAGUGAAGGUUGAACACAGUCAGAAGCCGCAGUCUGCUUGUACAGGCCAGAAGAAUACAGCAUCUGAGAAACAAAAUAAAAGUGAGGAAGCAGAAGCCGGUGAAGGCAAACAGCAUGUCUCAUUUCCUACAACGAAAAAAAGAAUCACGAUUCCAGUGGCGAUUCUUCAGUGAAGGUUGAACACAGUCAGAAGCCGCAGUCUGCUUGUACAGGCCAGAAGAAUACAGCAUCUGAGAAACAAAAUAAAAGUGAGGAAGCAGAAACCAGUGAAGGCAAACAGCAUGUCUCAUUUCCUAAAACAAAAAAGUAAGCA
Long non-coding RNA from Cyprinus carpio carpio, 1142 nucleotides. The record is from Ensembl. Lineage: Eukaryota; Metazoa; Chordata; Actinopteri; Cypriniformes; Cyprinidae.